This 421-nucleotide ribosomal RNA is filed under the name uncultured bacterium. RNAcentral describes it as "bacterial SSU rRNA". It matches the Rfam family "Bacterial small subunit ribosomal RNA", at positions 355 to 776 of the family's 1533-position model. The record is from RNAcentral.
UGAGGAAUUUUGCACAAUGGGGGAAACCCUGAUGCAGCGACGCCGCGUGUAUGAUGAAGGGGCUUUGCCCUGUAAAGUACUGUCGGAUGGGAAGAAAAGCGCUAUCAAGCGCUGGGACUGUACCAUCAAAGGAAGGGUCGGCUAACUACGUGCCAGCAGCCGCGGUAAUACGUAGGACCCAAGCGUUGUCCGGAUUUACUGGGUGUAAAGGGAGCGCGGGCGGGCUCGUGCGUCGGAAGUUAAAUAUCCGUGCUUAACAUGGAAAAUGCUUUCGAUACGGCGAGUCUUGAGUACGAGAGAGGAUGAUAGAAUUCCUGGUGUAGCGGUGAAAUGCGUAGAUAUCAGGAGGAAUACCAGUGGCGAAGGCGGUCAUCUGGCUCGUAACUGACGCUUAGGCUCGAAAGCGUGGGGAUCAAACAGG